Molecule: ribosomal RNA, 254 nt
Filed under: uncultured bacterium
Lineage: Bacteria
Description: partial 16S ribosomal RNA
Rfam family: Bacterial small subunit ribosomal RNA
Source: RNAcentral
UACGUAGGGUGCGAGCGUUGUCCGGAAUUAUUGGGCGUAAAGAGCUCGUAGGCGGUGUGUCACGUCGGCCGUGAAAACCUGCAGCUUAACUGUGGGCGUGCGGUCGAUACGGGCAUCACUGGAGUUCGGCAGGGGAGACUGGAAUUUACGGUGUAGCGGUGAAAUGCGUAGAUAUCGUAAGGAAGACCAGUGGCGAAGGCGGGUCUCUGGACAGUUCCUGACGCUGAGGCACGAAGGUCAGGGGAGCAAACGGG